This 406-nucleotide ribosomal RNA is filed under the name uncultured bacterium. RNAcentral describes it as "partial 16S ribosomal RNA". It matches the Rfam family "Bacterial small subunit ribosomal RNA", at positions 30 to 526 of the family's 1533-position model. The record is from RNAcentral.
AUUGAACGCUGGCGGCAGGCCUAACACAUGCAAGUCGAACGAGUGGCGGACGGGUGAGUAAUGUCUGGGAAACUGCCUUAUGGAGGGGGGUAACUACUGGAAACGGUAGCUAAUACCGCAUACAAUCGGAUGUGACAAGAUGUGAUUAGCUAGUCGGUGGGGUAACAGCUCACCUAGGCCACGAUCCCUAGCGGGCCUGAGAGGAUGACCAGCCACACUGGAACUGAGACACGGUCCAGACCCCUACGGGAUGCAUCAGUGGGGAAUAUUGCACAAUGGGCCCAAGCCUGAUGCAGCCAUCCCGCGUGUAUGAAGAAGGCCUUCGGGUUGGAAAGUACUUUCAGCGGGGAGGCGUUACCCUCAGAAGAAGCCCCGGCUAACUCCGUGCCAGCAGCCGCGGUAAUUC